AUCUCCCUGUGCGUCUGGUAGAGGGGCCUGAAGUGAUACGGUGGGACAGAUUAAUUUAUUCUAAGAGUACAGGUUGGCAUCUGCCUGUGGCUAGGGAGAGAGACCCUUAGAGUUGUGAAUCCUGGUGUUCAGGAUCUUUGCACCACAAGGGUUAAGGAAAUGUUUUGCAGUUGUCUUUUUAAAAACAUUAAGCACAUUUGUGAAGCCCUCACAAUUAUAUCUUUAGAGGAAACCAGAGGAAGAGAGUCCCCGGAAAGAUGAUGCAAAGAAAGCCAAACAGGAGCCGGAGGUGAACGGAGGCAGCGGGGAUGCUGUCCCCAGUGGAAAUGAAGUUUCGGAAAACAUGGAGGAGGAGGCUGAGAAUCGGGCUGAAAGCCGGGCGGCAGUGGAGGGGACAGUGGAGGCUGGAGCUACAGUUGAAAGCACUGCAUGUUAAGAGGGGGCACAGCCCUCCUAAGGGAAAGUGUUUUUGUAUAUAAUGUAUUUUUUCACUUUUGGAGGAUUCUUUUUGUAUAACUUCAAUAAAGAUUGUAAGCAA
This 538-nucleotide small RNA is filed under the name Pongo abelii (Sumatran orangutan). RNAcentral's name for it is "retained intron". The record is from RNAcentral. Lineage: Eukaryota; Metazoa; Chordata; Mammalia; Primates; Hominidae.